RNAcentral lists this long non-coding RNA (304 nucleotides) under Salvator merianae (Argentine black and white tegu). RNAcentral describes it as "lncRNA (ENSSMRG00000018259.1)". The record is from RNAcentral. Lineage: Eukaryota; Metazoa; Chordata; Lepidosauria; Squamata; Teiidae.
GUUUGCAAUCAGGUUUUCAUUGGUGCGGAGAGUAGUGAUCCCCCUUNGAGGCUCCCAAAUUAAAAGAAACAGAAAAAGGCCUGGAAAACUUUUCAAAUAUAUCUUUAUAUACAACAGAAGCAUCACCCUCCACACACUUAAAGGCUCCUUCCGGCAUAUUCUGCAAUCAACACUAUUGCUUACCUCCUUUUUAGAGUCACAACUGUUUCUUUGAGAACAACAACAGAAAGGCUGCAUCCAGAUGGCCACUGGAAGGGGCAAGAUCCAGGACAGAAGAUGGGGGAAUCCAACAAGGAGGUGGCAG